AGAUAUUUCAAAAUGAAUUUUUCAAUUUCUAUGAAUUUUCAAUCUGGAAAAUUGCUUGGCAGUACAGAUAAUGGUGCGCAAGAGUUUAUUAACUUGACAAAUUAAUAGCCCUGAUUUUUCAUAGCCAUAUACGCACGGCUUUCUACGCAGCAGCUUUCUAUGAUUGGCCGUUUAACUGUCCUAUGGGCAAAGUAAACCAAAUUUCAAAGCAGUAUCCCUUCGUAUGAUUGGACAAUGGCUACCACUAAGAAAGGGACCUUGUUAUAAAAGCCUACAUCGGGAGCUAUUCAGUCUUUCUCAUAGAAAUCGUGGUUAGGUGUAAUAUAGCUUGCGAUUUGUCCAAGCGAUCAGUGUGCAUGAAUACGGAGUAAUGGCUAAUUCUUUCAACAUAGUUUAUGUCGGACGCAGCUCGUUCAGUAUUGCCAAAAAAGAGCACUGCCGUUGUGUAGUUUUCCGAAAUGGUUGCGGUUGAAGUUUUUGUAGAAGUUUAAGCUUACUCGGCAGAAACUGUGGAUCCUUUUUCAAGAAUAUGAAACUACUGAUCAAUUCGUCUUGCGUAGGCUUUCUGUUUGGUCAUCAGUUGUAAUUCCAUAAUCGUGGUCUAACAGUAUGCACUUACACGUGGGCGCCACGUGGCCUUGAACUGAUUCUGCGUCAGUUGAAUUUAUUGGUUACGCUUAACAUCCUUGAAUAAGUUGCUAGAUCAAGAUUAGUUAGCUGUAAAUUAAACAGCUAGGUUGUGACCGAGAAAUCCAAGUUUCGGGAUGUGGAUUCCGUGCGGACUUCAGCGCCCGACAGCCGCUUGCCCGGGUUAAACUGUUUUGCGGUAUGACCCUUUCACCAUCCGAGGCUGGGUGCUGGCGGUCCAGGGCUGUGGUGGAGCUGAAGGUUUUUUUUUCCCCGCGAGUCAAGCCAUAAACAACGUGUCCGGGUGUGGCGCACGAGAGGCUUUGGAUCCCUGGAAGACCCUGUACUGGUCAUGUGGCGCCUCCCGUGCUGUGCAUGUCAACGAGCUGCAUUUCCACUUUGAAAAGGCUGAUGGCGCCGUUUGCUCAUCCGUAAAAUGUUUGCAUUACGUCUCCCAUUCUGUGGUGUUGCCCGAAGAGGUAAUAAAUUAUAAUAAAGUUCUUUUGGGGCAUUUGCCCAAAUUCA
Long non-coding RNA from Brienomyrus brachyistius, 1152 nucleotides. RefSeq lists it as uncharacterized. NCBI's taxonomy places the organism in Eukaryota, Metazoa, Chordata, Actinopteri, Osteoglossiformes, Mormyridae. The record is from RefSeq and is a predicted model, not a curated record. The transcript is spliced from 4 exons.